This is a long non-coding RNA of Etheostoma spectabile (orangethroat darter), 629 nucleotides long. RefSeq lists it as uncharacterized. The record is from RefSeq and is a predicted model, not a curated record. The transcript is spliced from 3 exons. NCBI's taxonomy places the organism in Eukaryota, Metazoa, Chordata, Actinopteri, Perciformes, Percidae.
AGAUCUGAAAACAUUACUGACCACUCUAUUAUCAAAAGUCUGGAUUGGAGAGACGCCCAGCAGUAACAUGAUAAAUGUAUGCAGAGAAAACAUAAUGAAUGGUGCCAUCCAAACCUUUGCAAGGAGGAGUUUUAAUCCAGAAGCCAAAUUAAGUAUUGUAUUUAUGGAUGACUUCAUGCAAGCAGAGGGUUCAGUGGAUGACGGGGGCCUUACACGGGAGUUUUUCCGACUGCUUAUGAUUGAACUAAAAGACAGCAGCCUGUUUACAGGGCCACAGAACAGGAAGAACCUGUCCCUGGACAGCCAUGCAUUACAAAAAAGUCUCUACAGAACAUUUGGAGUGAUGAUGGCUGUGGCACUGGUACAUGGAGGUGUGUUGCCUUCUUUUUUUUCCAAGAGGCUCUACCAAAACCUCUGCUCAACACCUACAUUGCCACCCACUCUGGAAGAGGUAGCAGACCAGGAUUUGCAGUUGAAACUCAAAAAGAUCAGUGAGGCAGUUGAUAUUGCAUCGGCUUGAGAUGCUGUUGAGGAAGCUGCCGAGAGCCUGUCUUUAUUGGGAUCACUGAGGCCUAUCACCACCAUGGAGGGAUGUGACCAGUUGGUUCAGGCUGCCACAAGUUUCUACG